UGGUGGAGCGAUUUGUCUGGUUAAUUCCGAUAACGAACGAGACUCUGGCCAAUUAAAUAGUUCGCCGAUUCCGAUCUGUCGGCGUUAACUUCUUAGAGGGACAAGUGGCUUUUAGCCACGCGAGAUUGAGCAAUAACA
RNAcentral lists this ribosomal RNA (138 nucleotides) under uncultured eukaryote. RNAcentral's name for it is "partial 18S ribosomal RNA". It matches the Rfam family "Eukaryotic small subunit ribosomal RNA", at positions 1299 to 1458 of the family's 1831-position model. The record is from RNAcentral.